This 96-nucleotide microRNA precursor is filed under the name Nicotiana attenuata. RNAcentral describes it as "MIR6152 microRNA precursor family". It matches the Rfam family "MIR6152 microRNA precursor family". Lineage: Eukaryota; Viridiplantae; Streptophyta; Magnoliopsida; Solanales; Solanaceae. The record is from Rfam by way of RNAcentral.
UAGACAAAUUAUUGUAUUCGACUGUAUUCACGGUAUGAAACAGGGGAUUACACUGUUUUUAAACGGAAAAUAAGUUAAUUGACAUAAUAGACUCCU